Molecule: ribosomal RNA, 267 nt
Filed under: uncultured Pseudomonas sp.
Lineage: Bacteria; Pseudomonadati; Pseudomonadota; Gammaproteobacteria; Pseudomonadales; Pseudomonadaceae
Description: partial 16S ribosomal RNA
Rfam family: Bacterial small subunit ribosomal RNA
Source: RNAcentral
AGUUACCAGCACGUUAUGGUGGGCACUCUAAGGAGACUGCCGGUGACAACCGAGGAAGUGGGGAUGACGUCAAGUCAUCAUGGCCCUUACGGCCUGGGCUACACACGUGCUACAAUGGUCGGUACAAAGGGUUGCCAAGCCGCGAGGUGGAGCUAAUCCCAUAAAACCGAUCGUAGUCCGGAUCGCAGUCUGCAACUCGACUGCGUGAAGUCGGAAUCGCUAGUAAUCGUGAAUCAGAAUGUCACGGUGAAUACGUUCCCGGGCCUU